This 68-nucleotide small RNA is filed under the name marine metagenome. RNAcentral describes it as "Cyano-1 RNA". It matches the Rfam family "Cyano-1 RNA". The record is from Rfam by way of RNAcentral.
GAGUGUGUAGGAGAGGUUUUUCUUAAACAGUGGACACGAGGAAACACUUGAUUAAGUAAAACUUAGAA